AGAACGAACGCUGGCGGCAUGCCUAACACAUGCAAGUCGAACGCGUGACUUCGGUCACGAGUGGCGCACGGGUGAGUAACGCGUGGGAACCUGCCCCGAGGUGGGGGAUAACCGAUGGAAACGUCGGCUAAUACCGCAUACGACCUAAGGGUGAAAGAUUUAUCGCCUUGGGAGGGGCCCGCGUCGGAUUAGCUAGUUGGUGGGGUAACGGCCUACCAAGGCAAUGAUCCGUAGCUGGUCUGAGAGGAUGAUCAGCCACACUGGGACUGAGACACGGCCCAGACUCCUACGGGAGGCAGCAGUGGGGAAUAUUGGACAAUGGGCGCAAGCCUGAUCCAGCAAUGCCGCGUGAGUGAUGAAGGCCUUAGGGUUGUAAAGCUCUUUCGGCGGGGACGAUGAUGACGGUACCGCAGAAGAAGCCCGGCUAACUUCGUGCCAGCAGCCGC
RNAcentral lists this ribosomal RNA (446 nucleotides) under uncultured bacterium. RNAcentral describes it as "SSU rRNA". It matches the Rfam family "Bacterial small subunit ribosomal RNA", at positions 26 to 518 of the family's 1533-position model. The record is from RNAcentral.